Molecule: non-coding RNA, 886 nt
Organism: Procambarus clarkii (red swamp crayfish)
Lineage: Eukaryota; Metazoa; Arthropoda; Malacostraca; Decapoda; Cambaridae
Source: RefSeq, a predicted model, not a curated record
AUAUAUAUAUAUACACACAAUUAUGUAAACUAAAUUCAAAUAUACAACUUGUUUAAUAUUUAUUUUAGUGACAUUGAAAAGCGUACUUCCAACAGAAAAUAAUAUAACUUCAUUUUCGAAGCGUUCUUCCAGACUAAAAUUACGUAACAAAAAUCCAAAGUCCAAUUUCCUAAUGACUUACAGUACAAUAACAAAGGGAAGAACUAUGAAUGGAUGUCUAUUUAUACAGUGUACAUAUUACGUGUGCGUGUUUAGUAUGUAGUGCGGUGAACCGCAGGAAGAAAUUACCUCAGCCCCCCUCACCCCCGUUAACACAAGCCCCGCUUUCUUACCACUCUUCACCGCAAGGUUAAACAAAAUUGUUAAUCACCCCGCAACAUUGAACUUCCGCGUGUUUGUACCGCGCAGCGCUCAAAGUCUUGAAAGUCUAUAACUGCAUCGUAAUAUCUCUGGAGAGUUUUGAGAAUUAGGAAGUUGCUGGGUUGGUUGUGGCCGACUUGUGCAUUGGUUCCAGCAGUAGUAUAUAUAUGCCUCGUCUGGUGCUUACCGCACGAGAAACAAAUGUGUAUGGAUUGGUCAACAUACUUCAGCCACGUUAUUGCGACUCAUCGCCUGCAAAUGGUGGGUGUUAAAUGUCCUGCUGGGAAUGACCGACACUUUUGUAUUUAGAUAUUAACAACAAAAAUGGGAGGGUUGACCUUGCCCUAUUUCCGUAUUGUCAGACAAUUAGAGCAAUAAGUGCCUUGGAUAUAAGCAAAGAAUUUGUGUAAUCUAUUUUUAACAAAAUAGGAUGAACCCAGUAUCCUGCAUUAUGCCUUUAUCAUCACCGUAAACUAACAAUUACCGAGGCCAUUAAUGGAGGCUUGCAACCUGCCAUUAAAUAUAA